RNAcentral lists this ribosomal RNA (117 nucleotides) under Anaerolineales bacterium. Lineage: Bacteria; Bacillati; Chloroflexota; Anaerolineae; Anaerolineales. The record is from RNAcentral.
CUUGGUGACUUUAGCGGCGGGGGUACACCCGGUCACAUCCCGAACCCGGAAGUUAAGCCUGCCAGCGCCGAUGGUACUGCCGGGGCGACCCGGUGGGAGAGUAGGUCGUUGCCAAGG